Selaginella moellendorffii is the source of this 1287-nucleotide long non-coding RNA. RefSeq lists it as uncharacterized. Lineage: Eukaryota; Viridiplantae; Streptophyta; Lycopodiopsida; Selaginellales; Selaginellaceae. The transcript is spliced from 10 exons. The record is from RefSeq and is a predicted model, not a curated record.
AUUCAUCUCAUGAAGAACUCUAUGGUCUUAGAUGGCAAGAGAUGGGGCGGGAAAAGUCUAAGACGAUUUUAAGAACUCAGCACUCAACUGGUCGUGAUCAGCGAGAUCAAAAAGGGAUGUUUUGUGGCCGCGAAAAGGCAACAAGAACGCUGUUUGUCCAUUCAUGGAAGGCCGCUACCGCUCCUUACAUUUUUUUUAGUAUGGGGAAUUGAUGACUCGGUCUUUUCCUUAUGCUAGGAAAUGGACGGGUAAACGCUACUCCAGUUUUUUUCUUCGCGUUUGCUACCCGCCAUUGGAAAGGGAAGAACCGGUCAAGGGGGCCCGAUGAUUGGGACUCUAGAGGUACACAUCCAGUGCACACUUUUGUCUAGCACUUUGCUUUCACAGGAUGCGGUACGGAGACUUACGUUAUCUCAGGUGGGGGUGUUAAAAGCCAGAAAAUUAACUUCCAAGCCAGCGAACCAGCCAGCGAGCGGAAGCUUUGGGUGCUGCGACCUUUUACGAGCAGCACAAACGAGGUCAAAAGCUCCGCUCACCGUGACGAGACUUAUUAGACAACGGGAUAUAAAAAAGAUGUUUGCUUGCAUCGACAAAAAGGGGCACUAGCAUUACGUUGUAGGAUCAUCCUGGAUCUAUGCGAGACAGUUGAGCUGUUCCGGGGCUUGUUUCACGAGGCAGCAUUGGGACGAGGCGGUACACAUAUUCGGAACUCCAGCCUCGAAAAGCUUUCUGAUAUCCGACUUUUAAAGGGGGACCAUCUCGCCCUGCACGUACAGUGUGUCGACAUUCUGGAAUGACAUGGCGACACUCCCACCAAAGCUUUCGAGCGAGUUGCCGGACGCGAGUUUAGCAGCGGGAGGCGAGCAUGUUGUCAUCUGCCAGUGCAGCCAAGGAUUGCAGGUUUCGGUGGUGCUGGUUCCAAUUCAGGUCGCGGCUGCGUUCCCUGUUGCUGGGCUCUGAAUUGAAAUCAGCGCCCUUGAAACUUUGCGAUCCACACAGGGGGAUAUCGGUUCUAUUUUCUCUCGACGUCUUUGCACUGGAACAAAUACGUUACAACGCGUGAGGCAAGAUGUUCGUCGUGGAUCAAUCAGGUACUAGGUUUUUUUAUUUGGCGCUCAAAGCGUUAACUAUAGUGGCAAAAAGUACUUCUUUUACAAGCAGUGUUAGCUGGCCUGAAAUCUUCGUUCCUAAUAGUUGCAUGGCUUCACAAACUUGUCCUUGGUUGUCCACUUGAAGACAUGAUACCAAUUUAAGCUAAAACAUAAACUAAGAUUAAGUUUGACUGUU